CCUUUGGCCGAAGAACCUCUGAUGCCAAAGUUAGAAUUUUGAGGGAAAAGUGUUUGGAGAAUUUAGAUAAUUUAGUAAGAGAAUUGGAAUCGUGUUUUGGAGAGAAUGAGAUGCCUUUUAUAGGGGUGUGGCCAGACUCCUUGGGUGAGAGAGGAUCGGCCACUUGGCUCUCUUUGUGGGCUAAGUUCUUGAUUUGUGUUUAAUUGGGUAUAAUUGAAUAAUUAACUAAUUAAUUAGUCAAUUAAUAGAAUAAUUGCCUAAUUGAGUAGCUAAUUAAUAUAAUAAAAAGGGAAGGAUUUGGGAGUUACCUUGUGGAGAGGAUUUGAUGAGGAUGGAUGAAAUAUGUUUUGAAUUGUUACCUAUUUUGGGCACUUUUGACUUGGUUGAGGGAUGAUUGCCCGCUACUUGCGCAUAGGAAUCCCGAUAUGCUUCAAGGGUAUUUUUAUCCUUUUUUAUCCAAAAAUCCACUUGUCAUUUUGUGAUUAUUGUAAACACAAAUAUUCCUACGAUGAAUGAGACAAUAACACGUGUACAAAAUAAUAUUUUGUAUUAAUGAUUUUGGGGUUACAAUCUCUUCUACAAAUUUAGCCUCUGAUUCGAUCUUUGUAAUGUGUAGAUUUGUGGAUU
This 627-nucleotide long non-coding RNA is filed under the name Malus domestica (apple). RNAcentral describes it as "long non-coding RNA (MDOM_LNC000549)". The record is from RNAcentral. Lineage: Eukaryota; Viridiplantae; Streptophyta; Magnoliopsida; Rosales; Rosaceae.